This 3296-nucleotide long non-coding RNA is filed under the name Cucumis sativus (cucumber). Its description in RNAcentral is "long non-coding RNA (CSAT_LNC001288)". The record is from RNAcentral. Lineage: Eukaryota; Viridiplantae; Streptophyta; Magnoliopsida; Cucurbitales; Cucurbitaceae.
AUGGAGAAAUCUCUUGCAAUCUUUGUAAGAUUCAACUUGAUCAGAAAAAGUGUGUUAAAUUACUAUUGCACAUUAUAAUUAUUAUAAAAUCCGACAUGUUCACUUACUAACUUUUUAGAUAGAAACUUCAUGUUUAUUAUUUCAUAUAGUAUAAAAGCACUAUCCAACAAGUUCUAACAAACAUUUCAUUCCAAUAAAAAAAUGUAAUUAUUCAUCUCACUAUGAAUUGGUAAGGGAUCAUAACAUCAAAUACUGAAGUAGAAAUUGAUAAUGCAAGUCUAUGUAAGCUAAUACAUGAGCAUGCAUGCCUAGUUAGCAACUAACUUUAAGAUCAACAUGUUCGAGAUCGAGCAAUUCUAUAAUGAUUUAAAUUACUUUUGUUUUUAAUAAUUCUAAACUAAUUUUGAUGAUAGAAAAACAUGUUUAAGAGUUGAUUUUUGAAUACGAACAAAGGCCACGUUUUACUCUUACAAAAUUCCUAAAAGAAACAUGAAGUAAUUACAGAAGAGAGGAGAAAAUAUAUAUAUAAAAAAGUAUAGAAUAACCGUCAUGUAAUAAUUGAUUAUAUAAAUAAAGAAUACAUAUAGGGAAAAUGACAAUGUGACAAUAAGAACAAUCAUCAGCAACCAAGAGACAAGAAUAGAUGGAAAUCAGAAAAUGUGUCAUAAUAUUUACACACAUGUUUGAAUUGAGAUAAAAUUAAUUAAAUGAUUUGUUAUAUAUAUAUAUAUAUAUAAUUUUAAAAUAAAAGUGAAAUGGAUUUAGAGCCAUGAAAAAUUGAGGUAAUUAAUUAAUUAAUUUAAAAAGAAUUUGUGGGUUAAAUUUGAAGGGGUCAUGUUCCAUGGCUGAAAAUCAAUCUCUUCUACAUAAGACUUCUUGUAUUUAAAGGACUCUAAAGAUCUCAAGGCUUUGAAAGCAUUUUGUAUCAUAGAAGGAAAAGAAAAAAAGAAAAAAGUGUUCACAAAAUCAAUGUACAAAAAUGCAAACACACAAAGUCAGAUUCAGUUUCAAGUUUCCAACUUGAGAAGACAAUGCUGAAUCUCACAGGUAGUGUUCUUCAAAAUGCAUGGCUACUCCUCAAACAAUUAUUCAUUCUUAAUUUCCCCUCUCAUAACUUUUUCUUCCAAAAAACACUCAUUUUAUCUGAACUUUUCGUGUUGAUCAAAACUUUUAACGUUUUAGAUUCAAAGUAUAUUUGUAUAUACACUAACAUUUAAAAAACAAUUGAAAAUAUUGCAAAACAUAUCAUAGUCUAUCACUAUCGAUAGCCAUAUUGUUAUACGUUUUAUCAUUAUCCAACGGAAGUUCAAUCAAAUUUGAAAAAGACUAAUAAUUUGUAUUUUUCUUUUUCUCAAUUGUUUAUUUGUUUAUUUAUGUAAUUUUAGUCAAAUAAAUAUGGGCAGAGCAAAAAAACAAAAGUUGUAGAUUUUUUUUUUUUUUUUUUUGAAAGGGUAUUUUGAGUGAUGCGAAGACAAAGAAAAUGGUGGCUGUUUGUUUGUUUAUAAAAUUAUUGUAAUUUUUUAUUUGAUUUGAUUUUGGUGAUGAAUAAAAAGGAAAAUCCAUGUGGCUAAGUGGUGUGGGGUUUAGCUAAAAAUGGAAAUUUUUUAUUGCAAAAUGUCUUCUCUUUCCUCUCUCAUUUCACCAAUAUGCUUUUCUUAUAUUCCCACCAGCUGUAAUUAUUACAACACAUCUCUUUUUUCUCUAAAUAAAUGUAUUCCUCAAUUUUCCAUUUUCAUAUAUAUAUAUAUAUAUAUAUGUAUACACACAUAUUGUACACUAACAUAUAUUAAAUAUAGUUUUACGAUAUACAUAUUAUAUAUGUCUGAAUGUAUGACUAUGAGGUACCAUAAAUAAAUAUAUAUAUAGUUUUAUAAAAUUAAAAAUUUAACAAUAGUAAGGUAAAAAAAUUAAUUAAAAAACUAUGAUAAUAAACUCUUGGACUUUUUCUAUUAGAGCUUUUUCUAAAUUGUAAUUUAACUCAUCUAGUUAUCUAAAUAAAAUUUAAUUAUGUCAGGUCAUAGAAUUUUUGUAAAGAAAAGUAAGAUCAUAAAUUGUACCUAAUUAUUGUUUAGCCACUCUCUUUCUCUUUCUUUUUCUCUCUACUUUUUAUGUAUGAUCUAAUUCAAUCAGUACUAUAUUUUCUUAUCUAAUUUUAAUAAUUAAAUAUCUCAAAUAUAUGGAUUGUAUUUCUAAUGAUAAAUUUUGAAAUAUUAGUAUUCGAGAAACAAUUUUUUUUAUAAAGAGUUGAUAUGAGAUUAGUAAAUUCAGCUAAAAUAUUAAUUUAAUUUAAAAAUACACACAUAUAAAUAGUAUUUUUUUUAAAUUAAAAAUAAAGAAAGGAAGAUGUGUGAAAAAAAAUCAAGAAAAAUAGUAAACAUAUGAAAUUAAAAAGAAACACAAUUCCAUAUUGAAAAAUAUAUAUGAGUUGGGAAAAGAAAUAUUUUUUUGAGAAAAAAAAAGUCAAAAGCAAAAUUUAUCAUAUUACGUUAUUACAUAUCCCAUGCAAAAUCUUUUUUUCCCUUCUCAAUUCUCUCAAGUGUAGAUCAUAGAAAAAUUAAAAGAAAAUUUAAAACAUAUAUAUAUAUUGUAUUGUAUGUAUGUAGAAGUAAAUCAGAAUUUUGGUGGCCAUGAAUCUAAAACAAACGUGUUGCAAAUCUUUUUCGUGGCCAUGAAAGCCUCAAGGUGUUCUUCUCUUGCCAAACCUCUCUCGUCUCUCUCUCCUAUGAAUCUUUUAAAAACUAGGCUCCAUAAUCUCGGUCGUCCAAUUCCGUCGAUCGGUAGGUGAUCGGAGACAAAAAAAACAUCCCCCAUCUAUCUUUUCUUCGUAAAAAUCAUUUGAUUUUUGGUUCUUAGACCUAAUAAAAUGUUAGAUUGAUCAAUCUUGUUUAUUUAUAACUAUAUCGAUUAUUACGUGUUAAAUAUUUAUAUUCUCACUUUAUCGGUCUUUUUACGUGUUGAACUGUAUAAUAAUAUAUAUGUUAGUUUAAAUUAGAUUUUGAUGUUAUAUUUAAAAAUACAUAUAUAUUAAUAUUAAUAUUAUACGUAAAUAUUUCGAAGAAUAAACUUACUUGUUUCCCCAUUUUGCAUGAAGUUCCAUAAUCAACAGUUGUUCGUCUGGGGUGAUGUUACCACGUCGGACGUCAGGACGGAGGUAGUUCAACCACCGAAGUCGACAACUCUUCCCGGUACGUUUCAGACCUAAAACGACGAUGUUUUUUUUUUUCGAGGAGGAGAAAAAUUAGGGUUUUUCUUAGAAAGAAUAAACUUAGGAGAAAGUUAGAAUAUUAUUUACCAGC